UCCGGUUUAUCACCGGCAGUCCCCUAUGAGUCCCCGGCCGAACCGCUGGCAACAUAGGGCAAGGGUUGCGCUCGUUGCGGGACUUAACCCAACAUCUCACGACACGAGCUGACGACAGCCAUGCACCACCUGUGAAGGUGUCCCGGAGGAAAACCGUGUUUCCGCGGCGGUCACCUACAUGUCAAACCCAGGUAAGGUUCUUCGCGUUGCGUCGAAUUAAACCACAUGCUCCGCUGCUUGUGCGGGCCCCCGUCAAUUCCUUUGAGUUUCAACCUUGCGGUCGUACUCCCCAGGCGGGGUACUUCCUGCGUUAGCGCCGGCACCCAGAGGGUCGCUCCCCCAGGCACCUAGUACCCAUCGUUUACGGCGUGGACUAC
This 377-nucleotide unclassified non-coding RNA is filed under the name uncultured bacterium. Its description in RNAcentral is "contains 16S-23S intergenic spacer region". The record is from RNAcentral.